Molecule: ribosomal RNA, 267 nt
Filed under: uncultured archaeon
Lineage: Archaea
Description: partial 16S ribosomal RNA
Rfam family: Archaeal small subunit ribosomal RNA
Source: RNAcentral
AGACGUCUACAUUAGAUACCCCGGUAGUCCCAGCCGUAAACUAUGCGCGUUAGGUGUAUCGGUGACCACGAGUUACCGAGGUGCCGAAGGGAAACCGUGAAACGUGCCGCCUGGGAAGUACGGUCGCAAGGCUGAAACUUAAAGGAAUUGGCGGGGGAGCACCACGAACAGGUGGAAGCCUGCGGUUUAAUUGGACUCAACGCCGGGAAGCUCACCGGAUAGGACAGCAGAAUGAUUGCCGGGCUGAAGACCCUGCAUGACUAGCUG